UACAAUGUAAGGUUUCCAGAACAGAAAAA
Molecule: non-coding RNA, 29 nt
Filed under: Rattus norvegicus (Norway rat)
Lineage: Eukaryota; Metazoa; Chordata; Mammalia; Rodentia; Muridae
Source: RNAcentral